Molecule: ribosomal RNA, 355 nt
Filed under: Chorisquilla trigibbosa
Lineage: Eukaryota; Metazoa; Arthropoda; Malacostraca; Stomatopoda; Protosquillidae
Description: partial 12S ribosomal RNA
Source: RNAcentral
AAAAUAAAAAAUACCUGGGUAGUAUAUAGUUAUUUUCUUGAAACCCAAAGAGUUUGGCGGUAUCUCAGCCUAGUUAGAGGAGCUUGUUCGGUAAUCGAUAAUCCGCGAAGAAUCUUACGCACUUUUGUAGGCAGUUUAUAUACCGUCGUUAUUAGAUAAUGUUUAAAGGCAAAUAAUUAUCUAAAUAUAAUAAAAUAUAGUAUAUCAGAUCAAGGUGUAGCUAAUAAGUGUGAGUUGAAUGAGCUACAAUUUAGUAUUAUAAAUUAUGGAAAAUAAUCUAAAAUGAUUAUUGGAAGGUGGAUUUAAUAGUAAUUAAAAUUUAGUAGGGCCUAAUGAUAUAAGCUCUGAGAUAUGU